GACGAACGCUGGCGGCGUGCUUAACACAUGCAAGUCGAACGGAAAGGCCCUGCUUUUGUUGGGUGCUCGAGUGGCGAACGGGUGAGUAACACGUGUGUAACCUGCCCUUGACUUUGGGAUAACUUCAGGAAACUGGGGCUAAUACCGGAUAGGAGCUCCUGCUUCAUGGUGUGGGUUGGAAAGUUUCGGCGGUUGGGGAUGGACUCGCGGCUUAUCAGCUUGUUGGUGGGGUAGUGGCUUACCAAGGCUUUGACGGGUAGCCGGCCUGAGAGGGUGACCGGCCACAUUGGGACUGAGAUACGGCCCAGAAGACAACGGGAGGCAGCAGUGGGGAAUAUUGCACAAUGGGAGGAAGCCUGAUGCAGAAACGCAGCGUGCGGGAUGACGGCCUUCGGGUUGUAAACAGCUUUCGCCUGUGAAGAAGAGUGAGUGAAGGUAAUGGGUAAAGAAGCACCGGCUAACUACGUG
This 468-nucleotide ribosomal RNA is filed under the name uncultured bacterium. RNAcentral's name for it is "partial 16S ribosomal RNA". It matches the Rfam family "Bacterial small subunit ribosomal RNA", at positions 28 to 507 of the family's 1533-position model. The record is from RNAcentral.